AGGACGAACGCUGGCGGCGUGCUUAACACAUGCAAGUCGAGCGGAAAGGCCCUUCGGGGUACUCGAGCGGCGAACGGGUGAGUAACACGUGAGCAACCUGCCCUUAGCUCCGGGAUAGCUCCGGGAAACCGGAAUUAAUACCGGAUAUGACCUAGGCCGACAUCGGCUGUGGUGGAAAGUUUUUUCGGCUGGGGAUGGACUCGCGGCCUAUCAGCUUGUUGGUGGGGUAAUGGCCUACCAAGGCGACGAC
This 250-nucleotide ribosomal RNA is filed under the name uncultured bacterium. RNAcentral's name for it is "partial small subunit ribosomal RNA". It matches the Rfam family "Bacterial small subunit ribosomal RNA", at positions 26 to 280 of the family's 1533-position model. The record is from RNAcentral.